Molecule: ribosomal RNA, 477 nt
Filed under: uncultured bacterium
Lineage: Bacteria
Description: partial 16S ribosomal RNA
Rfam family: Bacterial small subunit ribosomal RNA
Source: RNAcentral
GAUGAACGCUGGCGGCGUGCUUAACACAUGCAAGUCGAACGAGAAGUGAAGACGGAAACCUUCGGGCGGAAGGCUUUAUUUCGAGUGGCGGACGGGUGAGUAACGCGUGGGUAACCUGCCUCAUACAGGGGGAUAACAGUUGGAAACGACUGUUAAUACCGCAUAAGACCACAGCACCGCAUGGUGCGGGGGUAAAAACUCCGGUGGUAUGAGAUGGACCCGCGUUCGAUUAGCCAGUUGGCGGGGUACGGCCCACCAAAGCGACGAUCGAUAGCCGAUCUGAGAGGAUGACCGGCCACAUUGGGACUGAGACACGGCCCAAACUCCUACGGGAGGCAGCAGUGGGGAAUAUUGCACAAUGGGGGAAACCCUGAUGCAGCGACGCCGCGUGAGUGAAGAAGUAUUUCGGUAUGUAAAGCUCUAUCAGCAGGGAAGAAAAUGACGGUACCUGAGUAAGAAGCCCCGGCUAACUACGUG